GACGAACGCUGGCGGCGUGCCUAAUACAUGCAAGUCGAACGCAGUUGGGACGGGUUAGUAACACGUGGGUAACCUCCCAUCAGAGGGGAUAACGCUUGGAAACAGGUGCUAAACCGAUACUGAUGGAUGGACCCGCGGUGCAUUAGCUAGUUGGGGAGGUAACGGCUCACCAAGGCCACGAUGCAUCGCCGACCUGAGAGGGUGAGCGGCCACACUGGGACUGAGACACGGCCCAGACUCCUACGGGAGGCAGCAGUAGGGAAUAUUCGGCAAUGGACGAAAGCCUGACCGAGCAACGCCGCGUGAGUGAAGAAGGUUUUAGGAUCGUAAACCUCUGUUGUUAGAGAAGCGGUAUCUAACCAGAAAGCAACGGCUAACUCCGUGCCAGCAGCCGCGGUAAUUC
This 403-nucleotide ribosomal RNA is filed under the name uncultured bacterium. Its description in RNAcentral is "partial 16S ribosomal RNA". It matches the Rfam family "Bacterial small subunit ribosomal RNA", at positions 28 to 526 of the family's 1533-position model. The record is from RNAcentral.